ACAUAGUAGAGGCUAAGAUACGCGGACCGCUAAGGCGGGCACCGAGGUCCGCGAGGAGCAAGUGGUGCGACCGGCUACCGAGGAG
Molecule: non-coding RNA, 85 nt
Filed under: unclassified sequences
Description: c-di-GMP sequence
Rfam family: c-di-GMP-II-GAG riboswitch aptamer
Source: Rfam by way of RNAcentral